This 253-nucleotide ribosomal RNA is filed under the name uncultured bacterium. RNAcentral describes it as "partial 16S ribosomal RNA". It matches the Rfam family "Bacterial small subunit ribosomal RNA", at positions 524 to 776 of the family's 1533-position model. The record is from RNAcentral.
UACGUAGGUGGCAAGCGUUGUCCGGAUUUACUGGGCGUAAAGGGCGUGCAGGCGGUUUGUUAAGUGCAGGGUGAAAGCUCCCGGCUCAACUGGGAGAGGUCCUUGCAUACUGGCAAACUCGAGGGAGGCAGAGGAAAGUGGAAUUCCCGGUGUAGUGGUGAUAUGCGUAGAUAUCGGGAGGAACACCCGUGGCGAAGGCGGCUCCCUGGUCCGUUUCUGACGCUGAGACGCGAAAGCGCGGGGAGCGAACGGG